GUUAAUCGGAAUUACUGGGCGUAAAGGGUGCGCAGGCGGUUCGGAAAGAAGGAUGUGAAAUCCCAGGGCUCAACCUUGGAACUGCAUUCUUAACUGUCGAACUAGAGUAUGUCAGAGGGGGGUGGAAUUCCGCGUGUAGCAGUGAAAUGCGUAGAUAUGCGGAGGAACACCGAUGGCGAAGGCAGCCCCCUGGGAUAAUACUGACGCUCAGGCACGAAAGCGUGGGGAGCAAACAGGAUUAGAUACCCUGGUAGUCCACGCCCUAAACGAUGUCAACUAGUUGUUGGGCCCUUAGUGGCUUAGUAACGUAGCUAACGCGAGAAGUUGACCGCCUGGGGAGUACGGUCGCAAGAUUA
This 356-nucleotide ribosomal RNA is filed under the name uncultured bacterium. RNAcentral's name for it is "bacterial SSU rRNA". It matches the Rfam family "Bacterial small subunit ribosomal RNA", at positions 540 to 896 of the family's 1533-position model. The record is from RNAcentral.